This 253-nucleotide ribosomal RNA is filed under the name uncultured bacterium. RNAcentral describes it as "partial 16S ribosomal RNA". It matches the Rfam family "Bacterial small subunit ribosomal RNA", at positions 524 to 776 of the family's 1533-position model. The record is from RNAcentral.
UACGAAGGGGGCUAGCGUUGUUCGGAAUUACUGGGCGUAAAGGGCGCGUAGGCGGCCCACCAAGUCAGAUGUGAAAGCCCCGGGCUUAACCUGGGAAUUGCAUUUGAGACUGGUGAGCUUGAGUUUCGGAGAGGUGGGUGGAAUUCCCAGUGUAGAGGUGAAAUUCGUAGAUAUUGGGAAGAACACCGGUGGCGAAGGCGGCCCACUGGACGAAUACUGACGCUGAGGCGCGAAAGCGUGGGGAGCAAACAGG